UGGGGAAUAUUGCACAAUGGAGGGAACUCUGAUGCAGCGACGCCGCGGGAACGAAGAAGGCUUUCGAGUAGUAAAGUUCUUUUAUAUGGGAAGAUAAUGACGGUACCAUAAGAAAAAGCCCCGGCUAACUACGUGCCAGCAGCCGCGGUAAUACGUAGGGGGCUAGCGUUGUCCGGAAUCACUGGGCGUAAAUGGUUCGCAGGCGGAAAUGCAAGUCAGGUGUAAAAGGCAGUAGCUUAACUACUGUAAGCAUUUGAAACUGCAUAUCUUGAGAAGAGUAGAGGUAAGUGUAAUUUUUAGUGGAGCGGUUAAAUACGGUGAUAUUAAAAAGAAUACCGUUUUCGAAGACGACUUACUGUGCUCAUUCUGACGCUGAGGAACGAAAGCGUGGGUAGCAAACAUG
This 403-nucleotide ribosomal RNA is filed under the name Fusobacteriota bacterium. RNAcentral's name for it is "Fusobacteria bacterium partial 16S ribosomal RNA". It matches the Rfam family "Bacterial small subunit ribosomal RNA", at positions 355 to 776 of the family's 1533-position model. The record is from RNAcentral. Lineage: Bacteria; Fusobacteriati; Fusobacteriota.